AUGAACGCUGGCGGCAGGCCUAACACAUGCAAGUCGAACGGUAACAGGAAGAAGCUUGCUUCUUUGCUGACGAGUGGCGGACGGGUGAGUAAUGUCUGGGAAACUGCCUGAUGGAGGGGGAUAACUACUGGAAACGGUAGCUAAUACCGCAUAACGUCGCAAGACCAAAGAGGGGGACCUUCGGGCCUCUUGCCAUCGGAUGUGCCCAGAUGGGAUUAGCUUGUUGGUGGGGUAACGGCUCACCAAGGCGACGAUCCCUAGCUGGUCUGAGAGGAUGACCAGCCACACUGGAACUGAGACACGGUCCAGACUCCUACGGGAGGCAGCAGUGGGGAAUAUUGCACAAUGGGCGCAAGCCUGAUGCAGCCAUGCCGCGUGUAUGAAGAAGGCCUUCGGGUUGUAAAGUACUUUCAGCGGGGAGGA
RNAcentral lists this ribosomal RNA (423 nucleotides) under uncultured Escherichia sp. Its description in RNAcentral is "bacterial SSU rRNA". It matches the Rfam family "Bacterial small subunit ribosomal RNA", at positions 29 to 448 of the family's 1533-position model. Lineage: Bacteria; Pseudomonadati; Pseudomonadota; Gammaproteobacteria; Enterobacterales; Enterobacteriaceae. The record is from RNAcentral.